Molecule: ribosomal RNA, 786 nt
Filed under: fungal sp. JW38-1
Lineage: Eukaryota; Fungi
Description: eukaryotic LSU rRNA
Rfam family: 5.8S ribosomal RNA (bases 236-389)
Source: RNAcentral
AAGUAAAAUCGUAACAAGGUCUCCGUUGGUGAACCAGCGGAGGGAUCAUUAAAGAGUUAAAAACAACUCCUAAACCCAUGUGAAACCUACCUUUGUUGCCUCGGCAGGUCUGCAACUUACCCUGAGGGUACCUACCCUGUAGGUACCUUACCCGGUAGUUGCGGGCAUAACCUGCCGGUGGUCUACUAAACUCUGUUUACUAUGUCAUUCUGAAUAAUAUAAAUAAAUAAGUUAAAACUUUCAACAACGGAUCUCUUGGUUCUGGCAUCGAUGAAGAACGCAGCGAAAUGCGAUAAGUAAUGUGAAUUGCAGAAUUCAGUGAAUCAUCGAAUCUUUGAACGCACAUUGUGCCCAUUAGUAUUCUAGUGGGCAUGCCUGUUCGAGAGUCAUUUCAACCCUUAAGCCGUGUUGGUUAGUGUUGGGAGCCUACAGAUACCGUCUGUAGUUCCUUAAAGUUGGUGGCGGAGUCGGUUUCACACUCUAGACGUAGUAAAUUUUAUCUCGCCUAUAGAUGAGCCGGUCCCUUGCCGUAAAACCCCCUAAUUUCUAAAGGUUGACCUCGGAUCAGGUAGGAAUACCCGCUGAACUUAAGCAUAUCAAUAAGCAGAGGAAAAGAAACCGACAGGGAUUGCCCUAGUAACGGCGAGUGAAGCGGCAACUGCUCAAAUUUGAAAUCUGGCCUUCGGGUCCGAGUUGUAAUUUGUAGAGGAUGCUUGUGGCGCGGUGCCUUCCGAGUUCCCUGGAACGGGACGCCUUACAGGGUGAGAGCCCCGUACGAGUUGGACA